GGAGUUGUGACUCAGUGGUAGAGUGCUCACUUGGCAUGGGAGAGGUCCUGGGUUAGAUCCUCUGCACUGCA
RNAcentral lists this transfer RNA (71 nucleotides) under Marmota monax (woodchuck). Its description in RNAcentral is "tRNA.Ala". Lineage: Eukaryota; Metazoa; Chordata; Mammalia; Rodentia; Sciuridae. The record is from RNAcentral.